Molecule: non-coding RNA, 77 nt
Organism: Podarcis lilfordi (Lilford's wall lizard)
Lineage: Eukaryota; Metazoa; Chordata; Lepidosauria; Squamata; Lacertidae
Source: the annotation of a GenBank genome assembly
GGGGGUGGGCCCUAACUCAGCGCCACAGCUUCUGCCUCACAUGCAGAAGGUCGCAGGUUCAAUUCCCGGCAUCUCCA